Molecule: ribosomal RNA, 774 nt
Filed under: uncultured Neocallimastigales
Lineage: Eukaryota; Fungi; Neocallimastigomycota; Neocallimastigomycetes; Neocallimastigales
Description: partial large subunit ribosomal RNA
Rfam family: Eukaryotic large subunit ribosomal RNA
Source: RNAcentral
AGAGAGAGACAUGCGCGCAUAUCAAUAAGCGGAGGAAAAGAAACUAACUAGGAUUCCCUCAGUAACGGCGAGUGAAGCGGGAAGAGCUCAAAUUUGAAAUCUUCAAGGUUCUACCUUGACGAAUUGUAGUUUAAAGAAGUGUUUUCUGUUGGAGUUUUGGUAAAAGUUCUUUGGAAUAGGACAUCAUAGAGGGUGAGAAUCCCGUAUUUGACCAUUAUUUCAGCUGUGUGAUACACUUUCAAGGAGUCGGAUUGUUUGGGAAUGCAGUCCAAAAUGGGUGGUAAAUUUCAUCUAAAGCUAAAUACUGGCGAGAGACCGAUAGCGAACAAGUACCGUGAGGGAAAGAUGAAAAGAACUUUGAAAAGAGAGUUAAACAGUACGUGAAAUUGUCAAAAGGGAAGCGUUUGACACCAGUGUUGUUUUCUCGAAAAUCAAUUAAAAAAGGCAGGAUUUUGUGUUGUAUUGACUUUAUCAGCUUUCUGCACUCUUUUCUUGUCCUUUUUUAACUGCACUUUUCGUUAACAAGUCAACAUCAAUUUCUUUUGUUGUAAAAGGGUCAUUGGAAGGUGGCUUUCUUUUCGGAGAAAGUGUUUAUAGCCUUUGGCCUCUGCAAUCGGAGAGAUUGAGGUCUGCAGCGUAGAUCCUUCGGGGUUAGAUACAUUUGUGCUAAGUUAUAGCCUUUCAUAGACAACUUGUUGACUAUGAUCAGUCAUGUAGCUUACUCGCUUAUGCUAUUUUACCUACGCUUAGGAUGUUGAUGUGAUACUGCGAGCA